UACGUAGGGGGCUAGCGUUGUCCGGAAUCAUUGGGCGUAAAGCGCGUGUAGGCGGCCCGGUAAGUCCGCUCUGAAAGUCGGGGGCUCAACCCUCGGAUGCGGGUGGAUACUGUCGGGCUUGAGUGCGGAAGAGGCGAGUGGAAUUCCCAGUGUAGCGGUGAAAUGCGUAGAUAUUGGGAGGAACACCAGUGGCGAAGGCGGCUCACUGGACCGGUACUGACGCUGAUGCGCGAAAGCGUGGGGAGCAAACGGG
RNAcentral lists this ribosomal RNA (253 nucleotides) under uncultured bacterium. RNAcentral describes it as "partial 16S ribosomal RNA". It matches the Rfam family "Bacterial small subunit ribosomal RNA", at positions 524 to 776 of the family's 1533-position model. The record is from RNAcentral.